CGGGACGGGUGAGUAAUGUCUGGGAAACUGCCUGAUGGAGGGGGGUAACUACUGGAAACGGUAGCUAAUACCGCAUAACGUCGCAAGACCAAAGAGGGGGACCUUCGGGCCUCUUGCCAUCAGAUGUGCCCAGAUGGGAUUAGCUAGUAGGUGGGGUAACGGCUCACCUAGGCGACGAUCCCUAGCUGGUCUGAGAGGAUGACCAGCCACACUGGAACUGAGACACGGUCCAG
This 233-nucleotide ribosomal RNA is filed under the name uncultured bacterium. RNAcentral's name for it is "partial 16S ribosomal RNA". It matches the Rfam family "Bacterial small subunit ribosomal RNA", at positions 100 to 334 of the family's 1533-position model. The record is from RNAcentral.